CAGGUAGGGAUACCCGCUGAACUUAAGCAUAUCAAUAAGCGGAGGAAAAGAAACCAACAGGGAUUGCCUUAGUAACUGCGAGUGAAGCGGCAAAAGCUCAAAUUUGAAAUCUGACGUUUUUGACGUCCGAGUUGUAAUUUGGAGGGAUAUCUUCGGAGCUGGCGCUGUCCUAAGUUCUUUGGAACCAGACAUCAUAGAGGGUGAGAAUCCCGUGCCUGGAUAGCUGUCCUGCUCCAU
This 237-nucleotide ribosomal RNA is filed under the name uncultured Otidea. RNAcentral's name for it is "partial 28S ribosomal RNA". It matches the Rfam family "Eukaryotic large subunit ribosomal RNA", at positions 12 to 245 of the family's 3401-position model. The record is from RNAcentral. Lineage: Eukaryota; Fungi; Ascomycota; Pezizomycetes; Pezizales; Pyronemataceae.